AUUUAACUAUAAGAUUUACCAAAUACAUACGAUUGUUUUCUAAACUCACAACACUUUUAAAAAUAACAUGUUUAAUUAAUUAUCUUCAUAAAUUAUUAUUUUUACAACACAACUAACAGUAAUUAUUGUAAAAGCCACAACAUACGAAACUAAGGACUAGAAGGUAGCAUUCAAGUUUUAGACAUCCCAUAUGUUAUUCAAAAAAUUUAGUAUUUAUUAAGUGAACAUUGUGAUAUGAAUAUUCAUUUCAAAAAAUAGGGCAUGAAAAGGUCCAAAUCAUUUUUUAAAUCUUCACCUUCCACAAAAUUUGAAUUUAAAUAACCAAUUAAAGAAAUAUGAUUAAAAAUCACUCAGUUGAUCCCCAAUAAUGUGAUAACAUAAUUAAUUCACUUAAAACUUAUGAAAUUUUGUCACCACUUUAUGAAUGACAAAUUACAUAUCACAACAUUUAACAUAAAUUUAAAAUAUUUAGCAUAUUUAUCAUUAUUUGUUGCUAAAAAUGUAGAUAAGUGUUAAAUAAAUAGAUUACGAAAACUUCCCAAACACUUUUUUUUGUUAAAAAUAUUAAAAUAAACUACUUUUGACAUUUCAAUAACAAAUUAACAAUCCAAAUGGGACCUCAUGAUAACUUUUUAAAUCUAUUUAUUUGAAAAUCAAUUUUUGUAAAAUAAAAUUCCUAAAAUGCCUUUCAUAAAAUCAUGGGAUAUUAUCAUUUUCCCACCAAAAUUUUUCUAACACAUUAAGUCAGUACCAUGGUUAGGUAAAUACAAUAUUUUACUACCAAGUGUUCAUACUAUUAACAUUUUACCACAUUCCAUUAAAAAUAAGUUAAUAUCUAAUAGAAUUUGAGUUAAAAGUUGAUUUUCCCCCUUGACCAUAAAAGACGAUUUUCUCCUUUCAAAAGAAAGAAAUUACAAAAAAGAAAUUUAUUAUUUGUCCACAAAUUUUUUUUACAUAUCAAUUCAGUAUCAAGAUUUCUUAAAAACUAUAUUUUGCCACCUAGUAUUUAAGUUUUUAUCACUUUGCCACCAAAACAUUAAAAUAACUAAAUAUUUAACUUGGAGUAUAAAAGAUGAUUUUGUUAUUUGAAAAGAAAGAAAUUACAAAAGGAAAAUUAUUCUAGAAAAGUAGUUAUUCUAUUUAAAAAACGACUACUUUUUUUAUUAUAUAAAAAUGUUGUUGUGCAUUCAAAUAUUAAGUUCCAAAUAAUAUAAGUCAAACACUUUAGUUUUGAUAAUAUCAUUCAACACUAGCAACCCUAAGCCAUUUCAAACACUACAACAGCAACCAAAUACUCUAAAUUUAACAAAUAUGUUAACAUUUUGGUUUCAACAUGAAAUUCCUUAAAUGCCCUUAUGAUAUCAGUAAAUUUUUUACUGUGUUAAUGUUUUGGUAGUAAAGUGAUAACAACUUAAACAUUAGGUGGUAAAAUAUAAUUUUUACAAACUUAGUACUGAAUUGAUAUGUUAGAAAGCUUCUCAUGGACAAAUGAUAAUAUCUCUUUCACAAUUGAAUGGUGCAUUUUGGCUUUAACGUGAAAUUCCUUAAAUGCCCUUAUGACAUAAGCAAAUUUUUAACUACAUUAACAAAAUAGCAAUAAAAUGCUAACAACAUAAACAUUUGGUGGUAAAGUGUAGUUUUCAUCAAAUCAUAGUACUAAGUUGAUGCAUCAGAAAAACUUAGGUGGAAAAUAAUGUUUAGUAUCGUACAUGAGUUGCUCCUGUAGAAAAUACCAAUCCAAUCAAAUGAUAUGCUUAAUGUCUCAAAUGUUUCAUGUUCGACGUUAGCGGACCACCACUGGCCACCACUAAAAACUAAUGGUGGUGACAUGUUAUCUGACUUGCUAUUUAUAACUUUAAAUAUAAUUGAAUUAAAUAUUAUAUUGAUUUUUUUUAUUUUUUGCCAUUAAUAACAAAUUUGGA
Molecule: long non-coding RNA, 1922 nt
Filed under: Citrus x clementina
Lineage: Eukaryota; Viridiplantae; Streptophyta; Magnoliopsida; Sapindales; Rutaceae
Description: Citrus clementina (C. clementina) long non-coding RNA (CCLE_LNC000408)
Source: RNAcentral